Molecule: ribosomal RNA, 459 nt
Filed under: uncultured bacterium
Lineage: Bacteria
Description: partial 16S ribosomal RNA
Rfam family: Bacterial small subunit ribosomal RNA
Source: RNAcentral
CCUACGGGAGGCAGCAGUGAGGAAUAUUGGUCAAUGGUCGGGAGACUGAACCAGCCAAGCCGCGUGAGGGAUGAAGGUACAGAGUAUCGUAAACCUCUUUUGUCAGGGAACAAAGGCGGGGACGUGUCCCCGGAUGAGUGUACCUGAAGAAAAAGCAUCGGCUAACUCCGUGCCAGCAGCCGCGGUAAUACGGAGGAUGCGAGCGUUAUCCGGAUUUAUUGGGUUGAAAGGGUGCGCAGGCGGUCUGUUAAGUCAGCGGGCAAAGCCCGGGGCUCAACCCCGGCCCGCCGUUGAAACUGGCAGUCUCGAGUUGGAGAGAAGUAUGCGGAAUGCGCGGUGUAGCGGUGAAAUGCAUAGAUAUCGCGCAGAACUCCGAUUGCGAAGGCAGCAUGCCGGCUCCACACUGACGCUGAGGCACGAAAGCGUGGGUAUCGAACAGGAGUAGAUACCCUUGUAGUC